This is a long non-coding RNA of Nothoprocta perdicaria, 289 nucleotides long. RefSeq lists it as uncharacterized. Lineage: Eukaryota; Metazoa; Chordata; Aves; Tinamiformes; Tinamidae. The record is from RefSeq and is a predicted model, not a curated record. The transcript has 2 exons.
CCAUCCAGCUGAGCAGCGGUGCAAGCUCUUGGAGCCUGGAGGUUCUUCAGGCAGCCUCAGGUCACAGGACAUAUGAACCCUGCAUGCACCAGAGUACUGGAGCUCUAAACCAUGAAAAAUACAUGUUGUAUAUUUUGCAUCACAUCAAAGGCUAUCACACAGGUGCUGAUAGACUGCUUGAGCCUGAUCAGUUUGUCAAGUGAAGAAAAUAAGAAUUACCCUCUUCAUAGGACUUUUGAGGACUUUCAAGCACUCUGAAAAGAACAGCAAUCCUCCAGUAACGUUCCUA